Molecule: non-coding RNA, 27 nt
Filed under: Homo sapiens (human)
Lineage: Eukaryota; Metazoa; Chordata; Mammalia; Primates; Hominidae
Source: RNAcentral
UCAACAAGGCCGACAUGGUGGAGACGC